UACGGAGGGUGCAAGCGUUAAUCGGAAUUACUGGGCGUAAAGGGUGAGUAGGUUGUUGAUUAAGUUAUCUGUGAAAUGACUGGGCUUAACCUGGUCCUGAGAGAUGAUACUGAUUGACUAGAGUAAGGGAGAGGGUAGUGGAAUUUCCGGUGUAGCGGUGAAAUGCGUAGAGAUCGGAAGGAACACCAGUGGCGAAGGCGGCUACCUGGCCUAUUACUGACACUGAGUCACGAAAGCGUGGGGAGCAAACAGG
RNAcentral lists this ribosomal RNA (253 nucleotides) under uncultured bacterium. RNAcentral describes it as "partial 16S ribosomal RNA". It matches the Rfam family "Bacterial small subunit ribosomal RNA", at positions 524 to 776 of the family's 1533-position model. The record is from RNAcentral.